AGCGAACGCUGGCGGCAGGCCUAACACAUGCAAGUCGAACGAACCUUUCGGGGUUAGUGGCGGACGGGUGAGUAACACGUGGGAACGUGCCUUUAGGUUCGGAAUAACUCAGGGAAACUUGUGCUAAUACCGAAUGUGCCCUUCGGGGGAAAGAUUAAUCGCCUUUAGAGCGGCCCGCGUCUGAUUAGCUAGUUGGUUGAGGUAAUGGCUCACCAAGGCGACGAUCAGUAGCUGGUCUGAGAGGAUGAUCAGCCACAUUGGGACUGAGACACGGCCCAAACUCCUACGGGAAGCAGCAGUGGGGAAUCUUGCGCAAUGGGCGAAAGCCUGACGCAGCCAUGCCGCGUGAAUGAUGAAGGUCUUAGGAUUGUAAAAUUCUUUCACCGGGGACGAUAAUGACGGUACCCGGAGAAGAGGCCCCGGCUAACUUCGUG
Molecule: ribosomal RNA, 434 nt
Filed under: uncultured bacterium
Lineage: Bacteria
Description: partial 16S ribosomal RNA
Rfam family: Bacterial small subunit ribosomal RNA
Source: RNAcentral